CAACGCGCCGAAAAUUAUCGGGGCUAAAACAUGACACCGAAGCUUAGGAAUUGGUGUAAAUCAAUUGGUAGAGGAGCAAUGUGUGCGCGCUGAAGCGUUAGCGGAAGCGGGCGUGGAGUGCACACAAGAGAGAAUGCCGGUAUAAGUAGCGAAAGCGGAGUGAGAAUCUCCGCCAUCGAAAGUCUCAGGUUUCCUGGGGAAGGUUCGUCCCCCCAGGGUUAGUCGGGGCCUAAGUUGAGGUCGAACGACGUAGAUGAUGGACAGCAGGCAGAUAUUCCUGCACCACCACAGGACGUUAUUACUGAUGCAGUGACACAGGAGGAUAGUCAGACCUACCCGGAUGGUAAAGGGAGGCUGCAAUACGAGGCUUAAGCGUAGUAAAGUACGCGCUUAGUUAAGGCUGAGUGUUGUGGGGAACGAAUUAAAGUAGUGGAAGCUGAUGAAUUCACACUGGCGAGAAAAGCUGCUAAGGAGGAAUGUGGUGCCCGUACCGCAAACCGACACAGGUAGACGAUGAGAGAAUCAUAAGAUGAUCGGGAUAACUCUUGUUAAGGAACUCGGCAAAAUGACCCCGUAACUUCGGGAGAAGGGGUGCCACGCAAGUGGCCGCAGUGAAAAGUCCCAAGCAACUGUUUACCAAAAACACAGGUCUCUGCAAAAUCGAAAGAUGAUGUAUAGGGGCUGACGCCUGCCCAGUGCUGGAAGGUUAAGGGGAGCUGUUAGCGCAAGCGAAGCGGUGAACUUAAGCCCCAGUGAACGGCGGCCGUAACUAUAACGGUCCUAAGGUAGCGAAAUUCCUUGUCAGGUAAGUUCUGACCCGCACGAAUGGCGUAAUGAUUUGGGAACUGUCUCAACAAGAGACCCGGCGAAAUUGUAGUAUGCGUGAAGAUGCGUAUUAACCUGCGACUGGACGGAAAGACCCCGUAGAGCUUUACUGUAGCUUGAUAUUGAAUUUCGGCAACUGCUGUGUAGGAUAGGUGGGAGACUUGGAAGCACGGGCGUCAGCUUGUGUGGAGUCGUCCUUGAAAUACCACCCUUCGGUUGCUGGGAUUCUAACGGUGUGCCGUUAUCCGGGCACCGGACAUUGCCAGGUGGGCAGUUUGACUGGGGCGGUCGCCUCCCAAAACGUAACGGAGG
Molecule: ribosomal RNA, 1137 nt
Filed under: human gut metagenome
Description: bacterial LSU rRNA
Rfam family: Bacterial large subunit ribosomal RNA
Source: RNAcentral